UACGUAGGGUGCAGGCGUUAAUCGGAAUUACUGGGCGUAAAGCGUGCGCAGGCGGUCUUUUAAGUCAGAUGUGAAAGCCCUGGGCUCAACCUGGGAAUUGCAGUGGAUACUGGCAAGCUAGAGUGCGGUAGAGGAUGGUGGAAUUCCCGGUGUAGCGGUGAAAUGCGUAGAGAUCGGGAGGAACACCCGUGGCGAAGGCGGCCAUCUGGACCAGCACUGACGCUGAGGCACGAAAGCGUGGGGAGCAAACAGG
RNAcentral lists this ribosomal RNA (253 nucleotides) under uncultured bacterium. Its description in RNAcentral is "partial 16S ribosomal RNA". It matches the Rfam family "Bacterial small subunit ribosomal RNA", at positions 524 to 776 of the family's 1533-position model. The record is from RNAcentral.